CCAGACAGCUUUGGCUCCAGGCUGGCCGCACGAUCAGCCCCCACCUUGGCCAGGCACAGUUGAUGGGACCCAACAAAGGUCUGAGCUCCCCUGGCCCUGGGAUCUGGUGGCUCAGUAGAUCUAGGCACGUUCAUUUCCCAGCUGCCCUUCUAUAGGCUAGAGGAAAGAGGAUUUAGCCAGAGCAGAAAGUUCAGGGAGGAGAGAAGAUGCCAUGGACAUGAUGGUAAAUGUUCAUGGACACCUAGGCGCUGUCUCCCAGCUCACCACUCUGUGCUGGGGACCAGGGUGCAAAGACCUGCAUGGGAACAAAGUUCUCAAAGAAGUCUGUGAACUACUUCUGCCCAUGUGCCGCUCUGCCUUGGAGCCAGCCAACUAUGGACCCAAACCUCUACAAACUGUUCUGAGGACAGGACUGGCUGGGUCUGCUGCUCUGAAGCUCCUACCACAUCACACCACGAGGCAGCCCCUCAGUGGCACCACCCAGAAGUGUCCCGGGGAGGUGGCAAGUGACCCAGAUUCAAGUUGGAGAAGUCAGCCGUGGCCAAAUCCCCGCCCUUUUAACCUCGAACUUCUCUUGGAGGGUCUGGUGCCCCUACAGCCCAGAUACCAAGUACCCACAAAGAGAUCUCAAGCGGAGUGCUUCCCUCACCUCCCUACAUCAAGAGGAGAACGUUUUAAAAAUGUUUUUAUUUAAUAAAAAAAAAAAGAGACAGAACUAACAACCCCAAACCAAUCGUGGGUACAGGUGCUUAACUGGAGAAACACAUGGGGGUGGGGGGGGAUGGGAAGCGAGCAACGCUGCACACCUCCCCGGAAGGUGCCAAGUCUGAGACCAGCAGCAUCAGGGAGCCGGCUCGGCUCCCGCUGCUCGAGCAGGCCUGGCUGGAGGAAGGGCGAGCCAGAGACCAGGGUCCCCAGAGAUGGACGGCAGCGGGGAGAAAGGCUGUGCAGGCUGGAGCGGCUGAGGUUGUUUUGCUCCCUGCCCUCUGUCCCUCUUGGUUGCAUUUUUUCUUUCUUUCUACUCUUUCUUGGACCCCAGAGAGGGUCUGCGUUCUCCAUCUGGGACAGGGCAAGAGGUAGGAAUCAUUGGAACACAGCUUUCUUUAUGGGACCACAGAAACUGCUGGGGCAGUGGGCGGGAAGGGGCUUGAGUGGAAGCAACGGCCAGGCUGCCUCGCUGUUGGAACAGACAGAAGACGAGUCCUGGGGCUUUGCUGGGCGAUGGUUUUCUUCAGCCUGGUAAGAUGAUGGCAUGGUGGUGGAGGUGUAGAGGACAGGCCAGGGUGGCGGGUGGACAGGCCACACGCCCAGAUGCUGCUGCGGUGCUCACUGUUACGCAUGCUAGACACAUCGCCAUCCAGAGCAACCCCACCAGAGGAAAGGGUUUCAAGCAAGCACGAAGGGGCCCUGGAUGCCUCGCAUCUCGGCUCACCGGCACACAGGGGCAGUUGGCUGGAGAUGUGACGUGAGAUGUCCUCUCCUGCGUGUGGAGAGCGGGAGGGACGACGGCCAGGCCUCGGGGACUGGGUUCUGAACUCCUAGGGCUGGGUCCGCCAGGGGCUCCACGAGCAGGUGGCUGAGGUAAGAAUUUGCUCAUCACGUCUAAGUGCGACACCUACCGGGAUCACAGAUGACUGCUGGGGAUUGGUUAAGAAGUUUCAAAAA
This is a long non-coding RNA of Cavia porcellus (domestic guinea pig), 1665 nucleotides long. RefSeq lists it as uncharacterized. NCBI's taxonomy places the organism in Eukaryota, Metazoa, Chordata, Mammalia, Rodentia, Caviidae. The transcript has 3 exons. The record is from RefSeq and is a predicted model, not a curated record.